RNAcentral lists this ribosomal RNA (478 nucleotides) under uncultured bacterium. Its description in RNAcentral is "partial 16S ribosomal RNA". It matches the Rfam family "Bacterial small subunit ribosomal RNA", at positions 28 to 507 of the family's 1533-position model. The record is from RNAcentral.
GAUGAACGCUGGCGGCGUGCUUAACACAUGCAAGUCGAACGAGAAGUGGAGACGGAAGCCUUCGGGCGGAAGACUCUAUUUCGAGUGGCGGACGGGUGAGUAACGCGUGGGUAACCUGCCUCAUACAGGGGGAUAACAGUUGGAAACGACGGUUAAUACCGCAUAAGACCACAGCACCGCAUGGUGCGGGGGUAAAAACUACGGUGGUAUGAGAUGGACCCGCGUUAGAUUAGCCAGUUGGCGGGGUAACGGCCCACCAAAGCGACGAUCGAUAGCCGAUCUGAGAGGAUGACCGGCCACAUUGGGACUGAGACACGGCCCAAACUCCUACGGGAGGCAGCAGUGGGGAAUAUUGCACAAUGGGGGAAACCCUGAUGCAGCGACGCCGCGUGAGUGAAGAAGUAUUUCGGGAUGUAAAGCUCUAUCAGCAGGGAAGAAAAUGACGGUACCUGAGUAAGAAGCCCCGGCUAACUACGUG